GAUGAACGCUGGCGGCGUGCCUAAUACAUGCCAGUCGAGCGAACAGAUGAGGAGCUUGCUCCUCUGACGUUAGCGGCGGACGGGUGAGUAACACGUGGAUAACCUACCUAUAAGACUGGGAUAACUUCGGGAAACCGGAGCUAAUACCGGAUAAUAUAUUGAACCGCAUGGUUCAAUAGUGAAAGACGGUUUUGCUGCCACUUAUAGAUGGAUCCGCGCCGCAUUAGCUAGUUGGUAAGGUAACGGCUUACCAAGGCAACGAUGCGUAGCCGACCUGAGAGGGUGAUCGGCCACACUGGAACUGAGACACGGUCCAGACUCCUACGGGAGGCAGCAGUAGGGAAUCUUCCGCAAUGGGCGAAAGCCUGACGGAGCAACGCCGCGUGAGUGAUGAAGGUCUUCGGAUCGUAAAACUCUGUUAUUGGGGAAGAACAAAUGUGUAAGUAACUAUGCACGUCUUGACGGUACCUAAUCAGAAAGCCACGGCUAACUACGUG
This 497-nucleotide ribosomal RNA is filed under the name uncultured bacterium. Its description in RNAcentral is "partial 16S ribosomal RNA". It matches the Rfam family "Bacterial small subunit ribosomal RNA", at positions 28 to 507 of the family's 1533-position model. The record is from RNAcentral.